This is a long non-coding RNA of Bolinopsis microptera, 788 nucleotides long. RefSeq lists it as uncharacterized. NCBI's taxonomy places the organism in Eukaryota, Metazoa, Ctenophora, Tentaculata, Lobata, Bolinopsidae. The transcript has 3 exons. The record is from RefSeq and is a predicted model, not a curated record.
UCCCAUUAAAGUGAAACAAAGCUCGCAAUCGGUCUCUUGAAUUUGCACCAAACUCACGAUCAUCAAUGAUUAUUGACAGGCUGGGAGACAAGGCCUACAGAUGAACUUGUUUUUAUUGACAGUAGAUGCGCUAUCAAAUUUAGACAGGAUGACUUAACUGCGGACCUACUGACCUUGGAGCUAUGGGAGAACGCUACAACCCAUCUUGGGACCCUAGAUUUUGAUGCAAGUGGCCAAAAAAUUGUGAUAAGAUCAAUGACAUUUUGCAAGAAUGAGGCAAGCUCCUGCACAAAAGAAUUUCUCUAUGAUAUGGAGACUGAUAAGAAAGGCUUGAAUUGCCAAAUAACCUUUGCUGGAUCGACUUGGUCGCAAAAAGAAACAACUCUUCUUUGCGAAUCUACCAGUAGCGAAGAGAAAUUGAAUUUGACGGAUGAUGAAGGCGUGCUUACUGUGAUUGAUCGAGUUAAAUACAUCAAACUUAACAGAAUUGGGAGCUACAACCUCCACUGUCCAGAUAAAGAACAAUAUAACAGAGAUGACCUAUGUGGAUCGGGUGAAAGUAAAUACGAGGGUCAGUUAAAUGUCAGUGAGGACUUUAACUGGGACACAAAAGGACGGACUUCAUUUGCAAUUGACUGGGAUCUUUAUUGUGAUAGGGAGUACCUCGGAUCUAUCAUUAAGUCUGUUUACUUCGGUGGAGCUUGGGUUGGGCUAUCAGCAGGCGGGUGGUUGUAUGAUGUGAUAGGAAGGAAAAAAGGCGCUUUUGUCGGCUACGCUGUAGUAACAAU